GUGGAAUGGGUGAAUCUACCUUUUAUUGCUCAGCUUUGGAAAUUUCACAAGGCAUCUAGAGAGUAGAGAACAUGCACUUGAAUUUUGUUUUGCUAAAUCGUUUUAGACAUACUGCUCGCAUGGAACAGAGGACGUGAAGAAUAUGCAAGAAACAGAGAACAUGAAGAGGAAGAAAAUUAGAACGUAGCAUAUGCUGUUGUUCUUCUUCUCUAAGGCAUUUUCAUAUGGUGAAUUGUUUGUUGUUCUACUUCUAGCGGGAAACGGUAUUUAUAUUAACCGAUAAUACUUAUGGUAACUCUCCUUCAUUACAGGAGCAUCAAGGAAGGAUCUUAGUUACUUUCAAGAUCAUCAGAUUUUGUGAUUCUAAUUACUUCUAUAUCUGAUUUAGACAUAAGAAAAUAUGCCUAUUUUUCCUGCAGCUAAUCAAUAUCUUGAAAGUUGGAAAACUAUAGAGCUGCAAAAAAUUGUUUGUUGCUUUAAUUUAUCUGUAACCUGUUUACAAACUAUAGAGCUCUCUAAUCAGUUUUGAGUUUAACGUUUUAAGGUUUGACAAGAAUCAAAACAGAAUGAGUACAGCUCUCUAUGUACAUCUUCAUAUUUUUUCU
Molecule: non-coding RNA, 605 nt
Organism: Camelina sativa (false flax)
Lineage: Eukaryota; Viridiplantae; Streptophyta; Magnoliopsida; Brassicales; Brassicaceae
Source: RefSeq, a predicted model, not a curated record